UACGGAGGGGGCAAGCGUUGUUCGGAAUUACUGGGCGUAAAGGGCGCGUAGGCGGUUUGCUAAGUUGGAUGUGAAAACUCUGGGCUUAACCCAGAGCCUGCAUCCAAAACUGGCAAACUUGAGUACUGGAGGGGAAAGCGGAAUUCCUGGUGUAGCGGUGAAAUGCGUAGAUAUCAGGAGGAACACCGGUGGCGAAGGCGGCUUUCUGGACAGUAACUGACGCUGAUGCGCGAAAGCUAGGGGAGCAAACAGG
This 253-nucleotide ribosomal RNA is filed under the name uncultured bacterium. Its description in RNAcentral is "partial 16S ribosomal RNA". It matches the Rfam family "Bacterial small subunit ribosomal RNA", at positions 524 to 776 of the family's 1533-position model. The record is from RNAcentral.